Molecule: ribosomal RNA, 501 nt
Filed under: uncultured bacterium
Lineage: Bacteria
Description: partial 16S ribosomal RNA
Rfam family: Bacterial small subunit ribosomal RNA
Source: RNAcentral
AUUGAACGCUGGCGGCAGGCUUAACACAUGCAAGUCGAGCGGAGAUGAGGUGCUUGCACCUUAUCUUAGCGGCGGACGGGUGAGUAAUGCUUAGGAAUCUGCCAUUUAGUGGGGGACAACAUUCCGAAAGGAAUGCUAAUACCGCAUACGUCCUACGGGAGAAAGCAGGGGAUCUUCGGACCUUGCGCUAAAUGAUGAGCCUAAGUCGGAUUAGCUAGUUGGUGGGGUAAAGGCCUACCAAGGCGACGAUCUGUAGCGGGUCUGAGAGGAUGAUCCGCCACACUGGGACUGAGACACGGCCCAGACUCCUACGGGAGGCAGCAGUGGGGAAUAUUGGACAAUGGGGGGAACCCUGAUCCAGCCAUGCCGCGUGUGUGAAGAAGGCCUUUUGGUUGUAAAGCACUUUAAGCGAGGAGGAGGCUACCUGGAUUAAUACUCUGGGAUAGUGGACGUUACUCGCAGAAUAAGCACCGGCUAACUCUGUGCCAGCAGCCGCAGUAA